RNAcentral lists this long non-coding RNA (10944 nucleotides) under Gossypium barbadense (sea-island cotton). Its description in RNAcentral is "long non-coding RNA (GBAR_LNC016021)". Lineage: Eukaryota; Viridiplantae; Streptophyta; Magnoliopsida; Malvales; Malvaceae. The record is from RNAcentral.
UUGAGGAACUGCCAAUUUGUUUCUUGAUUUUCUAACCCAAAACAAUAAUAAAGUUAUAAGCAACAGAAGACCUCCACCUCCAACCAGUCCUCCAAUCAGGGCAUCCCUUUUGGUUGUAUUUCCCGCAUAAUUCAAUUUUUAAUAUAAAUUCAACCUGUCCUCCAAUUUGUUAACAUGGAAGGAGAAGGAGAUAUUAUUGGAUUAAUUGUCUGUAUAUAUUUAUAUUAAAUUCAAACCCUUGGAAGGAAUAGGCGAGCCAUGGUAGAAAGGGAGGAGAGGUGCCUUAAAAGGACUUACUGGUUUUCAAGAAGGGUUUCAGGUCAAUGGUGUAGUUAGCACCAAAGAAGGGGGAGUCUGAGUAUCUUAGGAAACAUCCACUGUCAACUGCCCGACCAUCUGAGUCAGGUGGGCAUCUUUGAAUAUUGGCUAAAGCCACUUUCAAGCAUUCCAUGCACCCUUUCUCGUAGAUUGUUUCCAUGCAUUGCGCCACGCCAUACGCUGUUACAUUGCCAUUUACACCACCCACUUCCUCCCCGCUGGCAGCAAAGAACGAAUCGAUCCUUGGCGUCGCCUUUACAAGAUCCCCUAAUAGCCUUUCCACCGUCGUUCCGAAAACACUCUGUUGUGAUGCUGUGCUGCCACCGCAAAUUCCGAGGUUUCCAACUUGCGUGCUUUCUUGGUAGAACAUGUUGCUCUCGUACCUAGCUCACCAAAAUCAACACAUAACUUCAUCAUUAUAAUCAUAAGAUUAUAAAGAUGGUAUAUAUAUGUGUAUAUAUAUAAGUAAAAGAAAGUAAAAACAUAUAUACCUGAGGAAGCAACCGUCGAAGAUGACACGAGCACCAUUAGCGGCGGAGCAGUUGCGGAUUUGUGAGGAAGCAGUACUGAAGCAAGAGAUGCAGUCGUUUCGAGACAUGUAAUUCCUGCACUGCACCAUGGCAUAAACGGGGUCAAAACCCGUGGCUUCUUGAGCCACUGCGAAAUGCAUGCCCUUGUCUAAGUGCCCUCGGAGCUCCGUUAACGUGGCGUUUAGAUUUCUGGAGAAACCGGAGAAGCUGGUGACGUUGAACAUGCUGCACCCAUGGUUCAGCAGAAAGGUUUGUGGAUUUGAGGCACCCAUUUCCAGCAGGCACCAUAUUACCGUCAAGGAAAUGCAAAUUCGAAGAAGCUCCAUAUCUCUUUAAUCUUUAAUACGACCCUCGAGUUUUGUUUUUUCUUGUUUAAUGUUGUUGCCAAAACAAGAUGAAAGAACGUUUAAUGUCUGGUAUAUAUAUAGUGGAAUUCUGUACAGAAUAGUAUUAUCUGUAUGAAUAAAUAAAUCAAUUCAAAAGAUUUGGAAAUAUUAUACCAGUAUACGACAAGGAAUUAGGGGGAUAGGUUAAUUACAUGAGAUGACUUGAUUAAAAUUUUGAAAGGAUUUAAUGAAUUUUAAAAAAAUCAUAAGUCUAAUUUAAACUGAAAAAUUUUAGAAACUUAAUAAGAAUUUUAGGAAAUUUUGGAAAAUGCUAUUUAAUUUUUUUAAAAUUUUUUAUAAUCAUCAUUUUGGUCGAAACCAUAAUUUUCACUGAGGGUAGCAAUAAUUAUUUCCUUACGGUUUAAUUAAAUUUUUAAAAUUCUAAUAAAAUUUUUAGAAAAUUCUGGAUAAGACUUUUGGCACCGAUGAACACCCGCCCCAGCUGGUUCACAAAGUCUGAAGUCUUUCAUUUGGACUUGCACGACUUCGUAGAAACGAACUUUCGUCUAAAGUUGACAGUUGUCACUUCUCAAUAACUUUUUUGUUUUAAUAUGUCAAAGGUCCUUAUACCUUUUUGAAAUAUAAAAUUUAGUCCUUAUACUUUAAUUUUGAGAAAUUGAGUAGCUAUACAAUUUUUUUACUUAAAAAUCUGGUUAGAUUUGAUUUAUAUAAAAAAGGUAAAAUAACUCUUUUAGCCCUCAUGAUUUAUAAUUUUUUAUUAAUUUGGUCCAAACACUUUAAAUUUUAAAAAAUAUAUGAAAAAUAUAAAAAUUUCCUAAAAUUCAAAAAAGUUGUGUUAUUUACUUCAGAAAUAGUAAUAAGGUCUCUCCAAGUUUUAAGCUAUUCUUUUGGUUCAUAUUACUUAAAUUUGAUAAGGCUUUUUUUAUUUAUUUUAAAUUAGAUUAUGUAACACCCUUACCCGUAUUCGACAUCGAAAUAGGGUACGAGGCAUUACCAGAACACAUACACUUGUAAAUGUAUUGAACCGAGUUAUAAAAAAAUUCAAUAAAUUGUUAAACUUUCAAAUUAUUAACAUGCUUUUAUAAUUCUUCACAAUAUAAAUAAUGCAACAUUUCCUACCAACCACAAUCAAGCUUUCGAUAAUCAUCUCACUGCAUCUAAUAAUUGUACAUAUUACCAAUAAUAAUUCAAUUUCAAUAAUAAAACACAUAUCCAUAUAAUAUUCAUCAUAAAAUAACAUUCACUUUAAUUAAAAUUAUACAGAAUAUAGUUCAUACUAACUUACCAAGUUAAUAUGUAGAAAUACCAAGAUGCAAGGGCAUUUUGGUAAUUUUCCAUUUUUUAAUUUUCUACCCGAUCUUGAUCUAAAUUAAUUUUUCAUUUAAUAAAACAACUCAUUCCAUGCAAUUUGGUCAUUUUUGACAAUUUUUUUCAAAAUUGCCCCUAAAGUUUUACUUUUAUUUAAUUUAGUUCCCGAGCCCAAAUCAUUCAAAUUAACCAUUUGUAACGCAAACCCAUGCUAGCAGAAUAUUCAUAUAUUUAUUUCCCCUCCUCCUCUCCAUUCCACAUCCUUAAUGUAUAUAACACACUUAAACAACAUUAACUAUAAUUUUACUAUUCACCCACAUGUAUAUUCAAAGUUGUUUAUCUGAGUCAGAGUCUCUAAAUUAUUUUUAUCUGGAGCUACAGAGCUCCAAAUUAAGAUCCGUUAAUUUUCCCUAAAACUAGACUCACAUAUCUUCUUACCAUAAACUUUUCAGAAUUUUUGGUUCAGCCAAAUAGUACAGUUUAUUCUUUAAAGUUUCCCCUGUUUUGCUAUCUAACAGUUUCGACCACUCUUCACUAAAAAUGAAUUAUCUAAUUGUACAGAAUUCGGAUGAUAUUUACAUUUGUUUUCUUUGAAAAUAGACUCAUCAAGGAUUCUAAUCAUGUAAAUUAUAACUCAUAAUUAUUUUUCUUCAAUUUUUUUUAUGAUUUUUCAAAUUCAGAACAGGGGAACCCGAAAUCAUUCUCACAUUGUCUCACAAAUUUUAUUAUAUCUCAUAAUUUACAAUUUCAUUACUUACACCGUUUCUUCUAUAAGAAACUAGACUCAAUAAGCUUUAAUUUCAUAUUUUAUUCAUCCUCUAAUUCGAUUUACACAAUUUAUGGUGAUUUUUCAAAGUUAGACCACUGCUGCUGCCCAAAACUGUUUUAGUGUAAAUAUUGAUUACCAAUUUGACCCUAAACUUUUAGUACAUAACAAUUUCGUCCCUAGGCUCAGUAAAUGAAAUUCUUGCAAUAUAAUUCUUGUUUCAAGACUAAUAGUUCUCACACAUAUCAGUAACAGCCCAUGGAUUCCAUGAAAUUUCAGAAGUUUUCCUCAAUUUCAAUACUUUCAAUUUAAUUCCUAAAACAUGUUUUCAUCCAUAAUUCUUUAAUAAAACACCAUUAAACAUUCAUUAACAUAUCAAUUUCAUCAUAAAAUAACAAAAAUCAUAUGAACUUAUCAUUGGUAUCUUCCAAAACUUUCAACAAAAUGAGGAACUAAUAGAAUACUAAGUUGGACCUAAUUGUAAAAGUGUAAACAUCUCAAAAUUUCAAGGAAAAAAUAAGAAUUAAACUUACUUGAAGCCAAAAUAUGGAGGAACAGCUCUAACCCCCUUUCAUGGCUGUUUCCACUGAAAUUUCAAGAAGAAAUGGUCUUGAAAUCCUUCAAAUAAAGUUUGGCCACAUAAAUUUUUUUGUAAUUCCAAUUUUGUCCUUAAAUACAUAAAAAUCUUUGAUUUUUUCAACUGUAUGCCGCCUCAGCCACUUAAAUUGGUCCAUUUACUCUUUUAGUCCUUCCUUAUUUAAUUGUUAAACCAUUUAACCACUUUAGCAAGUUUUGCAUCUUUCCAAUUUAGUCAUUUUUAAUUAAUUGACUGCCGAAAUGUUAAAAUUUUCUAACGAAACUUUAACACUACCAUAUUAACACUCCAUAAAUAUUUAUAAAAUAUUUACAGCUCGGUUUAUAACAUCAAGGUCUCGAUACCUCUUUUCCUCAAUUUCUUGACUUGAUAAAUUUUUAUAAAACACAAAUUACUAAUUUAAAAACUCUUAAAAAUCAUAUUUGGCUCGUAAUUAUUAAUAACAAAAUUUACUAGCUUAUUUUCUGAAUUUGGUGAUCUCGUACCACUGUUUUCGACAUUUCUAAAAAUCGGACUAUUACAGAUUAAUUGUAUAUAAAAAUAUUUUUAUGUAAAUUUAAUUAUAAAGUGUAUAAAAUAUUAAUAUAAAAUAAUUUUUAAAUAACGAUACAAAUUCUGAAUCCAUUCAAAUUAAACUUAAAUAUAAUUUUUUUUUUCAAAAUACACCAUAUAUUAAAGGAAUUUUAUAUAAAAAAUGGACACAUUUUGGUAAAGUACAAAAGUUACAAAUUAAGUCUUGAAAUUUUAUACAGUGUAUUUUAAACAACAAAAUGUAAAUAUUUAAAUUUAAUUCACAUCAAGUUUGUAUAAUUAUUUAAUUCAAAUCAUUUAUAUAAAAAUAUAUUUUUGUUUAAAUCAGGACCUAAUUUAUUUAUUUAUUUAUUUAUUUAAAAAUAGUGCUUUUUAUUUUUAAAUUUUUUUAAUUUUUUAUAAUUUUUAUUGAAAAUAUGAAAAGACAUUUAAUUUUAAAACUUCCUUUUUUUUUGGUAAUUGUUUAUGUAUUUUGGAAUAGUUUGAAUUAAAUUGAUAAAAAAAAUUGUAAAUCAUGAGGAUUAAAAGAAUUAUUUUAUUUUUUACAAUAACCUUAUCAUCAAUUCUAAUGAUAAAAUUGACGAAAAGACCAAUAUUUAAUUUGUUAUUAGUUCGAUUAUGCAUCAUAAAGGUUGAUUAUGAUGUAAUUUUUUAAAAAUGGAGUUUGCGCGUGUGUGUGUUUUUACUUUAUUCGCUAAAUGCAAUUUUCUUAAGGCAUUUGCUUUGUUGAUUAUUAUUUUAUGUGCUGAUUGUGAAAAAAAAAAUCAGGAGUAAAGUUAUAAUCUUAUCAUACAAAUUCCAUUCCCAUCUCUAACAUUUUAUAAAGAAAUUUAUAAUCAUGUCACGUCAUUUGCCGGGACUUCUCAUUUGAACUUUAGGUACUAGUCUAUGUGUAAACCUAACGGUCGUGCCUCACCUGUCAGCUGCACUCUGCACACUUCUCUUCACAUCCUCCCUAUUUAUCAUAUCUACCCUUAAAACUUUCAAUUUCCAACAGCGGAAAACACUCCCCGAUUUGUAUUUAGUUGUUUUUAUUAAAAUCAUAAUAAUAGUGACCCAAAUUUGAUAUUUUAACUUAUUAAUUUCAGAAAAAGCUCGAGAUUAAUACUAAUAGACAGCAUGAUGAGCUUUAACUAUGAGCCAUAGUUUGGCACAGUCAAUUCACGUUUAUAUAAAGCAUUUAUAAAUUAUAAGAAUGAUUUUUUUCUCAAUGUAUUUGCUUUUCAAUGUUAACUUUCUUCCUAAAACUAUAUAUAUAGCUGGGAUACUAUCACGGUUAUAAAGGUACUUAAAAAUAGGUUAAGUUUGGUCUAUGAUACUAACAUAUUUUAUUUUUGUUCAAGUUUGGCCCAAUUCAAAAUAUAAAUCUCAAAUUAUGUUCAAAAUUGUCAAUAUAAAUUAUUAGCAAGUUCAUUUUAAACCCAGAUGUUAUUAAAUUUUAUAUUAUUUUUAAUUUUUAAUUUAUUAAUUUUUUAUUAAGAUUUAAUUUUAUUAAUUUUAUUUUAUAUAAAUUACAUUAUAUAUAUAUAUAUUCAAAAUAGAAAACAGAUCAACUUUCAAAAAUAAAAUAAAAAAUAGGUAGCUCAUAUUUUUGCUCAAACUUAUUUUCUGAACCUCAUAUUUUUAUCCAAACUCUCCUGUAAUUUAAGUGGAUUUCGAGUUUUGAUUAAAUAGCUCAAUCCUUAAACAAGUCUAUAAAAACACCUAUCACAUUAUAAAUUAAAAUAUAUAUUGUGACAAAUAUUCAAUUAGUGAAAAGAAAAACCCAAUUUAAAUAUAAAAGCACAGAUAAUUCAACAUUUAAUUACCACUUUAACAAAUUCAACGAACAUGAGAAGUAAAAAGAAAAAAAAUUUAUACUAUUAAUAUAAGCCAUGUUUAUUUUCAUACACUUAUAAAUUCAAUAUAUAAUUUAAAUUUAAAUUUAUUUAUUUGGAGAGAUUGAUUUUGAAUAUUUAAAUAACGUAAAUGGUCAUUUGCAAUGUUUUGUUUAAAGGUUUGCACGCGGUAAAGAUUAUCUUAGUUUUCAGCUUGUUUCCGAAUUUUCAAGAGCUUGACAUUUGAUGCAGAAUCAAAUGAAAAAAAAUAUUAAAUUCUAAGUAAUUAAAAGUAAUAAAUUUUUAUAAAAAAAAUAGAAAAUUGGUGGAAACGUCUUUAAAAUAUUAAUGAAAUGAUACAGGUUGCAGAAAAGAAAUUAUUAAUGUUUGAAUAUUAAAAUCUAAGUAGAUGUAAUAGCCCGAUUUCGGGUCUCGUCGGAACAGUGGUUUCGGGACCACAAAUCCGACGAGAAAAAAUAAAAUGGCCUGAAUUUUCAGGGGUGUCAAAACGGUGAUUCGAGAUCAUUAAAACCGACAAAUGAGUAGAAAAUAUUAUUAAUUUAGUGAGUAUAAGUUAAAUGUGAAGUUAAGAAAAUUUUUGAACAAAAAGGACUAAAUUGUAACAAAUGCAAAAUUAUGGGAAAUGAUUAAAUAGCUUAAAUGAUAAAAGUAAGAGGGCUUAAAAGAUAAAUAGACCCAAUGUCUAUUUGGGCUGGACGGCAAAGGCGUGAAAUCAGCAAGAAAGUAAGGAGAAUUAAGGGCAAAAUUGGAAUAUUGCAAAUUUACUUAAUAAAGCUAGGAUCCAAGUGGAAUUAUCCAGAUUUCUCUUUAUUUUUCUCCAUUCUCAUCAUCAAAAACACCAUAGAAGGGUUUCCUUAAGCUGGUUUUUCAUAUUUUUACUGCAAGUAAGUUCAAUUCUUGAUUAUUUCUUGAACUUUUUGUGUUUUUGUGACAUUUAGAACUAGGCCCACUUGUUGAAUUCAUUAGUUUUUGAUUCUAUGAAAGAAGUUGAAAGUUGCUAUGAAUAUGUGUUGGUAGUAUAUGAUGAUUUAGCAUGUAAUUAGAGCUUUAAAUUGUUUAUAUGCUGAUUUUAUUGAAAGAAUUGAAUAGAAAGUGAAUGUUUGGGACCUAAUAGUAAAACAAGUUAGGGUUUUAUGAGGAAAUUCUGAAUUUCAAUAAUUAUGAAUAGCUUAUAAUGUGUAGGUAAAGUACUAAUUGAGAAAAAUUAGCUUAAUUGAGGGGUUAAUUGAGAAGGGACUAGAUUGUAUGAAAUGUGAAAUUUGGGGCAAACUAGAAAUCAACAUUUUACACUAAAACAGUUUUGGACGGCAGCAGUAGUUUAACUUUGAAAAAUCACCAAAAAUUAUGGGAAUCGAAUUAGAGAAUGAAUAAAAUAUUAAAUUAAAUCUUAUUGAGCCUAGUUUCUCAUAGAAGAAACGGUGUAAGUAAUAGAAUUGUAAAUUAUGAGAUAUAAUAAAUUUUGUGAGACAAGGUCAGAGUGAUUUCGGGUUCCCCUGUUCUGAAUUUGGAAAAUCAUAAAAAAUUGAAGAAAAAUAAUUAAGAGCUUAAAUUUAUAUAUUUAAAAUCCUAAAUGAGUCUAUUUUAAAGAGAAAUAAACGGAAACAUCAUCCGAAUCCCGUACAAGGAGAUAAUUAAUUUUAAGUGAAGAAGGGUCAGAACUAUCUAGCAGUGAAACAUGGGAGAUUUUAAAGAAUAAACUGUACUUAUUAGCUAAGACAAAAAUUCUGAAAAUUUAUGGUAAGAAAAUAUGUAAGUCUGGUUUCAGAUAAAAUUAACGGAUCUUAAUUUGGAGUUUCGUAACUCAAGAUAUAAAUAAUUUAGUGACUCUGACUCGGAUAGACAGAUUUGAAUUUAAUUAUAAGUAAAUAGUGAAAAUAUAGUGAAUUUACUUGUGUAUAAAUCGGUCAUAUAUUCGAUCAUAAUCGAUAAAUGUUGAAUUAGAAAUGAUGUAAUGUUUUAUUUCAAAUAGUUACUAUGAGAUUGAUGAUAAUCUGAUUUUAGCUAAAUUAAAAGCUAAAGCUAUGUUUUCAUUGCAAAAUUAAGAAUUUCAUAAAUAUGUUAAUGAAUGGCAUAAUCGAUAAACGUUGAGUUAAAUGGUAAAUAGUAUUAGUAUUGAACUUAAUGAUAUUGAAUUUUAUGAGAAGUAAAUGGAAAUUUCUAUUGCUAGUGAUAUGAUUUGAAUUAAAAGAAUUAUUGUGAUAUUGAAAUGUAUAUUGGAUUGAGAAAUUGAUUUAAAUUGUAAACAUAAGAAAUUAUGAAUUGAAUGAAAUGGAAAUGAAGCAUUGAAUUGUUAAGACUUGUGAAUUGCAUGAAUAUAAAUCGGGUCUCGUAGGCCCUAUUUAUUAUGAAUAUAAUAUUUAAAGGAUAUAUUGUGAAGAGUUAUAAAAGCAUGUCAAAAAAAUUGAAAGUUUUAAUUUUGAUGAAAUUUUAUAAUACGGUUAAAUACAUUUACAAAUGUAUGUGUUCUGGUAAUGCCUCGCACUCUAUUCCGGCGACGGAUACGGGUAAGAAGUGUUACAUUAGAAGUAAAAAGAAAAAAAUAAAACCAAUGAAAAUGAGAAAAGAAAUUAUGGUUUGAGUGAUACAGAUAAUAAUGACAUAGAAAUUUGAGAAAAUCAACGACCAGAGACCUGGGAGAUAGAAUUGGUAGCAUUAGAUGAAGAAGUGGAAGUGGAUCUGUUAUCUUGGGGAAUAAUAUCAACCCUUCUGUCAGAUUCAAUGAAGGCAGGUCGAGUGGGCUGUCUUGGCUCUAAGGAGCUCACUGUUCUAAGCAUAGUAACCACCUCUGACAUUGUAGGCCUCAAAGAAGCUGAUGAUUGAGUGCAUAAGAAUGCUAUUUCGAUCAUUCUUUGCAUUUCGUCUAUAUCAUAUUCUUCCGGAUCUAAGCUUCUGUCUACUAUUUCCAUUGCCAUAUUAUCUUGGUACAGUCCCCAUGCCUACAUGUAUAUAUAUCACCAAAAAGAAAAGAAAAAAACACACAUAGGAAUUAGCAGUAAUAUAUGUAUCAACUCAGAUUAGGAAAUUAAAGUACCCGUUUUAGAAGGAACUCAGCGGUAGGAUCAAGAGAGGUUUCGUUGUUCUUUAGGCCACUGAUGAUUUCAAGGACAACCACCCCAAAGCUAUAUGUAUCAACUUUCACUGACAAUUGCCCAUGGAUUGCAUAUUCUGGUGCUGUAUAUCCACUGUCCCAUCCAACUUAUUUCAUUAUUAACCAUAUAUAUGCAUGCUAAUUACCUAAAUUUACUACCCAAACGCCAAAAGCCUAGAAAUUUGGGAUGGGAAACUUACAAAGUGCCAGCAAAUUUGGUGCUAAGAUGAGUCUGAUCCUCAGGUAAGAGCCUGACCAAUCCAAAAUCUGCUAUCUUAGGCUGAAAAUCUCUGUCCAAAAGUAUAUUGCUAGGUUUGAUGUCCCUAUGGAUGAUACAUACAUGAAACUCCUCGUGUAAAUAGGCUAGUCCCUUUGCUGUGCCUACUAUUAUGUCAAAUCUCUGUUUCCAGUUCAGAGAUCCAUGCCCUUCACCUGUUCGACAAAAUAAAACAAACAUAAAAUUGCUUUCAAGAUCAUUAAUUUUACGACAAUCAAGAUUCAAUUUCUGACAAUUAAUUACCAAAUAAGUGCUUAUCAAGGCUGCCAUUAGGCAUGAACUCAUAGACAAGGAGAAGCUCAGGGCCUUUACUACAGCAGCCAACAAGGCGAACCAGAUUCCGAUGAUGAACAUUGCUUAUAAGCUUCACUUCUGUAUCGAAUUCUGCUUUUACCUUUUCUGAUUUGCUUAUGGCUAGUUUCUUCACUGCUACCACCCUUCCAUUCUUCAAUAUACCCUAUAUUUAUAUAUUAAAAUUCCAACCGCCCACAAAUUUAUCAAUUUUCUUUUACAAUAAUAUAAAAGUAAUUUCAUUAUUGUUGAGUAAAUUGCAAGGUUAAAAAUAUUCACCUUGUAUACUUCACCAAAACCACCUUCUCCUAAUUUAUUUUGUUGACUAAAAUUUGUCGUUGCAAAAUUCAAUUCUUUGUAAGUGUAAGUCAACGGACCUUGUAACUCAGGUGGCGCCUCUACAUCCUCUGCAAUGUUUUUUUUUUUCUUUUUAAAUGGGCACAUAAUUAUGAUUUUAUUUAUUUUAACCCACAAAUAUAGAAUUAAUAUAAUAUGUUACCUUGAGGAACUGCCAUAUUGUUUCUUGAUUUUCUAACCCAAAACAAUAAUAAAGUUAUAAGCAACAGAAGACCUCCACCUCCAACCAGUCCUCCAAUCAGAGCAUCCCUUUUAGUUGUAUUUCCUGCAUGAUUCAAUUUUUAAUAUAAAUUCAACCUGUCCUCCAAUUUGUUAACAUGGAAGGAGAAGGAGAUAUUAUUGGAUUAAUUGAUCUGUAUAUAUUUAUAUUAAAUUCAAACCCUUGGAAGGAAUAGGCGAGCCAUAGUAGAAAGGGAGGAGAGGUGCCUUAAAAGGACUUACUGGUUUUCAAGAAGGGUUUCAGGUCAAUGGUGUAGUUAGCACCAAAGAAGGGGGAGUCUGAGUAUCUUAGGAAACAUCCAGUGUCAACUGCCCGACCAUCUGAGUCAGGUGGGCAUCUUUGAAUAUUGGCUAAAGCCACUUUCAAGCAUUCCAUGCACCCUUUCUCGUCGAUGGUUUCCAUGCAUUGCGCCACGCCAUACGCUGUUACAUUGCCAUUUACACCACCCACUUCCUCCCUGCUGGCAGCAAAGAACGAA